Molecule: ribosomal RNA, 489 nt
Filed under: uncultured bacterium
Lineage: Bacteria
Description: partial 16S ribosomal RNA
Rfam family: Bacterial small subunit ribosomal RNA
Source: RNAcentral
GACGAACGCUGGCGGCGUGCUUAACACAUGCAAGUCGAACGGAAAGGCCCCCACCUUGGUGGGGGUGCUCGAGUGGCGAACGGGUGAGUAACACGUGGGUGAUCUGCCCUGUACUUCGGGAUAAGCUUGGGAAACUGGGUCUAAUACCGGAUAGGACCAUGGUUUAGUGUCUCAUGGUGGAAAAAUUAUUGUUUUGGUGCAGGAUGAGCUCGCGGCCUAUCAGCUUGUUGGUGGGGUAAUGGCCUACCAAGGCGUCGACGGGUAGCCGGCCUGAGAGGGUGGACGGCCACAUUGGGACUGAGAUACGGCCCAGACUCCUACGGGAGGCAGCAGUGGGGAAGAUUGCACAAUGGGCGCAAGCCUGAUGCAGCGGCGCCGCGUGGGGGAUGACGGCCUUCGGGUUGUAAACUCCUUUCGUUAGGGACGAAGCCACACCUUUUUUGGGUGUGGUGACGGUACCUUUGUUAAGAAGCACCGGCUAACUACGUG